RNAcentral lists this ribosomal RNA (163 nucleotides) under [Teline] stenopetala subsp. microphylla. RNAcentral's name for it is "Teline stenopetala subsp. microphylla 5.8S ribosomal RNA". It matches the Rfam family "5.8S ribosomal RNA". Rfam says of the family: 5.8S ribosomal RNA (5.8S rRNA) is a component of the large subunit of the eukaryotic ribosome. It is transcribed by RNA polymerase I as part of the 45S precursor that also contains 18S and 28S rRNA. Lineage: Eukaryota; Viridiplantae; Streptophyta; Magnoliopsida; Fabales; Fabaceae. The record is from RNAcentral. RNAcentral also lists the same sequence under 1 other name.
AAGACUCUCGGCAACGGAUAUCUCGGCUCUUGCAUCGAUGAAGAACGUAGCGAAAUGCGAUACUUGGUGUGAAUUGCAGAAUCCCGUGAACCAUCGAGUCUUUGAACGCAAGUUGCGCCCGAGGCCAUUAGGCUGAGGGCACGCCUGCCUGGGUGUUGCACAU